Molecule: microRNA, 22 nt
Filed under: Chrysemys picta bellii (western painted turtle)
Lineage: Eukaryota; Metazoa; Chordata; Testudines; Emydidae
Also listed under: 3 other names
Description: Cpi-Mir-1416_5p (mature (guide))
Source: RNAcentral
UCCUUAACUCAUGCCGCUGUGC